GAUGAACGCUAGCGGGAGGCCUAACACAUGCAAGCCAAGCGGUAUUUAUUCUUCGGAAUAGAGAGAGCGGCGUACGGGUGCGGAACACGUGUGCAACCUGCCUUUAUCAGGGGGAUGGUCUUUCGAAAGGAAGAUUAAUACCCCAUAAUAUAUCUGAUGGCAUCAUUAGCUAUUGAAAACUCCGGUGGUGAGAGAUGGGCACGCGCAAGAUUAGAUAGUUUGUGAGGUAACGGCUCACCAAGUCAGUGAUCUUUAGGGGGCCUGAUGCGGGUGAUCCCCCACACUGGUACUGAGACACGGACCAGACUCCUACGGGAGGCAGCAGUGAGGAAUAUUGGACAAUGGGUGCGAGCCUGAUCCAGCCAUCCCGCGUGAAGGACGACGGUUCUAUGGAUUGUAAACUUCUUUUAUACUGGGAUAAACCUGCCCUCGUGAGGGUAGCUGAAGGUACAGUAUGAAUAAGCACCGGCUAACUCCGUGCCAGCCGCCGCGGUAA
RNAcentral lists this ribosomal RNA (496 nucleotides) under uncultured bacterium. RNAcentral describes it as "partial 16S ribosomal RNA". It matches the Rfam family "Bacterial small subunit ribosomal RNA", at positions 28 to 523 of the family's 1533-position model. The record is from RNAcentral.